This is a long non-coding RNA of Aplysia californica (California sea hare), 577 nucleotides long. RefSeq lists it as uncharacterized. The transcript is spliced from 2 exons. The record is from RefSeq and is a predicted model, not a curated record. NCBI's taxonomy places the organism in Eukaryota, Metazoa, Mollusca, Gastropoda, Aplysiida, Aplysiidae.
AAAGUUUAUAAAUUCUUCUUAUAAAGGAGUAGUCACUAAAGAAGGGAGCACCACCACCAUUCAAGACAAACAAGGAAAAUGCCUGACAGUUGACAGAGGAACAAGACAUUUUGAAAAGAUGGACAGAAUACUGCUCAGAAUUGUACAACUACAAAGCCACGAGAAACCCCGAGAUUCUAAACGUUCCCCCAGCAACCAACAUCGAUAACCACCCAGUCCUUCGAGAAGAAGUUGAAGCAGCAGUUAAAGCACUGAAGAAGGGGAAAUCAGCAGGAGUGGACAACAUCCCAGGAGAAUUGAUACAGGCAGGGGGAAAGGACAUGAUAAGCGCUCUGACUGUCAUCUGCAACAAGAUCUGGCAGACAGGAAAGUGGCCAACACCAUGGACACAAUCACUAGUGAUUACACUCCCCAAGAAAGGUCUUUCUGAGAGGCCUACGCUGAACUGACUGGAGACCGUUACGUAACGACGUCUUGCAAACGUUGAUGUGGCAGGCAGGCCAGCUCGUCCAGUUAGCUUUUGUACUAGUGGUUGGAAAUUCAAUAAAAACCUUCACCCCCCUCCCCUUAGGGACAC